This 464-nucleotide ribosomal RNA is filed under the name uncultured bacterium. Its description in RNAcentral is "partial 16S ribosomal RNA". It matches the Rfam family "Bacterial small subunit ribosomal RNA", at positions 29 to 507 of the family's 1533-position model. The record is from RNAcentral.
ACGAACGCUGGCGGCGUGCUUAACACAUGCCGGUCGAACGGAAAGGCCCUGCUUGCAGGGUACUCGAGUGGCGAACGGGUGAGUAACACGUGGGUGAUCUGCCCUGCACUUCGGGAUAAGCCUGGGAAACUGGGUCUAAUACCGGAUAGGAGCCAUUUUUAGUGUGAUGGUUGGAAAGUUUUUUCGGUGUAGGAUGAGCUCGCGGCCUAUCAGCUUGUUGGUGGGGUAAUGGCCUACCAAGGCGGCGACGGGUAGCCGGCCUGAGAGGGUGGACGGCCACAUUGGGACUGAGAUACGGCCCAGACUCCUACGGGAGGCAGCAGUGGGGAAUAUUGCACAAGGGGCGCAAGCCUGAUGCAGCGACGCCGCGUGGGGGAGGACGGCCUUCGGGUUGUAAACUCCUUUCGCUAGGGACGAAGCUUUUUGUGACGGUACCUAGAUAAGAAGCACCGGCUAACUACGUG